Sapajus apella (tufted capuchin) is the source of this 5353-nucleotide long non-coding RNA. RefSeq lists it as uncharacterized. The record is from RefSeq and is a predicted model, not a curated record. NCBI's taxonomy places the organism in Eukaryota, Metazoa, Chordata, Mammalia, Primates, Cebidae. The transcript has 3 exons.
AUGACUCCUGUUUUAUUCUCACUGCACACCUCUGCCUGUGAUGAUCCUGAGAAACUCCAUGCCUUGUAACCCAGUGGCAAUAUCAUCAGGGUGGGAGCUGGCUGGCUGCUCAGAUGCCCCCCAAGCAGAGUCUCAUCAUAAGCACCAUGUUUAGGUCUCACCUUUCUGCAAUGUUUGAAUUCACUCAAAGACACAGUUUCAAAAAAUGAACAUUAUUUCAUAACUCUAGAUCUUCCCAAUUACAGGACUAUUCACACUUCCUAAUCAGGGCUCCCUUCCCACAUUAGGACAGGCAGGGGGUCUCCAGCAAGGCCGGCGUUAGGGUGGAGGUGGCUAUGCAGCCCCUGGAGUAUUUGCUGCCCUAGGCCAGAGCACCCUGCCUCUGCCUGCCCAGCAGCAGAGACCCUCUCCAGGGAUUAUUCAGGUCCUGCUGGGAGGAACAAACACCAAGUCACUGGACCUUUCCCCUUCAGACAUGUUUGAAGGACUUCCUAAGUCCCCGUCAGCAACACAUGUACAAACUGUCUCUUGGAGAAGUUACCUUCUACAGAGAGGCACGCCCAUCAGAUUCGCAGAAGGUGAGCUGAUUUUCAGAUUACAGUAGCUCCCUAAGUACCAGAAGAGCCCAGGUGAGAUCUGACGAAAUGGUUCUAGCUUCUCUAUCCACCUGCCCUCCAAGGAGCUGAAGACUUCAGGCUGAGGAGCGCCGGCUGAAAUGGCCGGAAGACGGUACGGAACGGGAAGCAAGGCUUGGCCUCUUAGCAGGGGAGCAGACCUGGUAGUAAGCCGAAGCCACUCUAGGUGUGAAGAAAGAGCCGCAGGCAAGAAGAGCAUGGGACUCAGCUCCCAGAGUCAGAGAUACUGCUUGGCCAGCCCAGGUGCCAGUACUAGGGUAUAGUAGCUGAGUGCAGACCAAAAGGUCUUGUUUCCAGUCCAAGCACCCUUUGUCUGGGCUUGCAUUUAAUCAGCAAAGACGGUUCUGCACUUCUCAGCUCUUUGACCCAGGAAGGCUGGUCCUGAAUCUGUAAAGUCUGUAAAUAAAACUGCAGUUAACUUUGAACAUCACAGGUUUGAACUGUGGGCCCACUUAACACAGAGAUGGUCUUCUGCCUUUGCUGCCCCAAGACAGCAAGUCCAGCCCCGCCUCUUCCUCUUCUUCUUCAGCCUACUCAGUGAAGAUGACAAAGAAUAGGACCUCUAUGAUGAUCCACUUCCACUUAUUCUAUAGUAAAUACAUUUUCCAUUCCUUAUGAUUUUCCUAAUAACGUCUUCUUUUCCCUAGCUUUCUUUAUUGUAGGAAUGCAGUGUAUAACACAUAGAACAUACAAAAUAUGUGUCCAUUGACUGUUUAUGUUAUCAGGAAGGCUUCCAGUCAUCAGUAGGCUAUUAGUAGUUACGUUUUGGGGGAGUCAAAGUUUUAUCUGGAUUUUUGACUGCAAGUUGGCGUGGGGGAGGGGUGUCAACACCCCUAACUCCCUCAUUGCACGAGGGUCAUCUGUAUGCACUGUGGAGCCUUAAUGCAGCCUGCUUCAGCUUUGGCAAGUGCCUCAUCCCAAGCUCCCGUUUCUCCCUCUUGGCCCUACCCACAUGGGCCCUUAUCCCUCACCAUCAUUCAAAUCUCAUCUCCCAUUGUAAAGUCCAGAUGAAUGCAGCUUCCAGAAAUUACCUCAAAAAGAAGGUUUUAUAUGUCUUGGGUCCUCAAAAAAAUAAGAGUUAAUUAAAUUGCCCAGUGCUCCUCUAAAGGAGAAAGGUAGUCAUCUUGGGGACGAUGCACUGUUUUCCCACCAGGCCAAGUCAUAGACCCUGGCAUAGAGCAGACACAGCCUCUGCCUGGCCCGAGGUCUGCUCCAGAAAGUCAGGUAGACUCAGGGCUGUCCAGCCCCACAGGCCCAUCCCCCUCCUGAGCUACUUAUGGGGGCUGGAGGUGUUAGUCUAACGGGGUUCCCCUUCCUAGAGGGGACCUAGAGAGCAGGUGGCCCAGGGGUGAAGUGGGGAGGAGAGGAGGGUGCAGAGCCAGAGUGCUGGUGUGGAGCCAGCCAAUGAGAGACCUGGAUGCAGAGGACAUAGGGGAAACAGAAGCCUGGAGAGCCAAAAAGGACAGAGGGUAGCUCUGAGCUGCAUUGCAUGGAUCCAUAUUCUGCGUGGUGACUAUAAAGCCCUUCCAUCCUUGGCCUCCUGUUCCCCUGCUAGUCCCUGCCCCACCCUUGCUGCUCCACUCCCCAGGCUCCCCAUCCCCACGCACUCCAGGGCCCACUCUUGAUGCUGGACAGUGCUGAGGCUCCUCCCUCCUGCAUGGCUCCUGCCUGUAGCUAUGCAAGAGCAAGGCCAGGCUUCCUACGUGAGGCUCCAACUUCCUUCCUCACUCUUCAAAACUUGCAAAGAAAUUGAUUUGCCCCUUAGAAGCUGUUGUUACUUUUGAGUCUAUGGAGAGACUAAAUGCAGUGAACCCAGCAGAGCAUGCUGGGCAACAGAGGUCCUGAGUCCCAAAUCAGAAUUUCAAGUGGUACAAAAUGAGGCAGUAAACCUGCACGUGGAGGUCUGAUACCGCUUGCAGAAGUGAAUUGAACAGAUGUCUCUCUUUUGGUAAGGAUGUGGUUUUAUUGACUUGAAAUAAGAAUGUUCUCGAGCAACAACCAGUCACCCAUGGGAUGCUGCCACAAGGAAUAAUUGAGCACUGACUCAGACACAGGGGAAACCACUGCCUCUGCCAGUCUUUCUCCCAGAUUCCAACAGUCAGCGUUAAGCAUUUCACCUUGUUCACCUCCCUGAGAAGACGUUGCAGCUCACUUGCCCCAGUGGGCACUGGGAGGCUCUGCUCGGGUGGGAAACAUGCCCCCCAACAUGCACAUCUGGUGAUUCCCUUAUGAAGCAGAUACUGGGGUCCACACAUGAACACAAGGGGCAGGGAAGUAGCCCCAGGGCAUAGUGUGGAGCCUCCUAUGGGAAAACAGGGAUUAGGGAGGGGCAAGGAAGAGGAGUUGGCCAACAGGUGGCAGGUGGCCAUCUAGAUGGUCAUGAUGGUUGAGGGGUCUGGCAUCUCACUUUUCAAAUGUGGGGAUCUGGUAAAUUUCAGUUUCUUGAUACUAUCUGGGAAGACUGCUGGUAGGUUUCCUGAGAAAGGAGCUCAGAUAACACAAAUGUAAAUUUUGCCUUGGAUUUCAAGAAGGGGAGGGUCAAUUUCUAGGUUUAUUCAAGAAAAACCAUAAACCUCAGUUCUAUGGGGCAGUUAGGCCUGUUUCAAGGCUCUGAGGUUAAGGAUUAAUGAGGGGACAGAGUCGCCUGGAGAAGUUCACUGGGGCCUACAAGAAACUACAGAGGCUUUCUGGCAAAGCUCUCUGCUGUCUAUUCUCUCUUCUUUCCUUGCAGGAAGAAUGCAACACCGUUCCAGACCCCAGAGGUGAAAAGGAUUUUGUUCAAUAAGUAGAGAACUGAAGGGGUGUGGGAGGCACAUGGAUUUGAACGAGAGCCCUCUUGGUUUGCAGGCAGAUGCUCAACCUUGAGUUGCACCCUUCACUUGCCAGAACUGUUUCUGAUAAGUGCCUGUGCAGCCACAUCAACACCUCAGUUUCUUCUUGGUCAGUCCACAGGAACAGCCCCACUGCAGACAACCCAUUCAUGCUCUCCUCUUUCCUCUAAACCCCAGCCCCCUUCAACCUGGCAAUCCACAGGCCUACAGCUUCUCCUCUCAAUGGGAAAGACAUCAGCUUGGAAAGCCAUUAACAUUAUCCUAGAAAGGCUUUUUAAAUGACCCAACAGGACAAGUCCUCAGAUGGCCUUGGCCAACCCAGUGCUUCCUUCUUUUCUUGGUUGUAGUUCUCAGAAUAACUGGAGAAUGUGCUGGGAGUGCUGUGUCCUGAGAUAAGGAGGAACUAUCCUAAACCCGGACUCUGUUCCCAUCACACCUAGAACAGGACGCCCUACAGCACUUUAGCCCAAUGAUCCAAAUUGCCAUUGCGGUAGAAAACCAAGAGCAGAGGCUGUUCAGGGUCCCUCAGCUGCAGUGUGAAGUGGGACACACAUAGGGUCUGGACUGAACCCAAGAAAGCCCAUACCAAUAAUUUGAAUCAAUUGACCCCCACCGUGUAGCCCAGGAAUUUCCCCAGCUGUCCCAAAGAAUCUCAGGCCAGAAGCACAACUGGAGCAGCAAGAACAAGAAAUGUCUCCUCUGCUCGGCAGACCCCUGCCCUGAGGCCCAGCACCACAUGUCCUGCAAAGUGAACCUGGCCCCUGGCCAACAUCCUACAUUAAGGCUACUGCUGACAUCAAAAGGCUAUACAGAUCUCAAAAAUGUAGAGAAAGAACACCCACCCAAAGGAUCCCAUGAGAUGGUGGCAGUGCCUGUGAUAACUGUAUCAUGGAGACCAAAGUCAGAAUGCACAGAAGCUCACAAAGGAAAAUGCAAUCUCUUUGUGUUUUUCUACAGUGCCAAACAACAUUGAGCAUAAAAGUUGGGCUGCAAUAAAUAUUUAUUGGAGGGAAGUAAACACAGCAAAAUUGGCAAAGAUAACUAACAACAGGGUUAAUAUAAAUUACUUGAGGUAGCACCAGUCAAAUGAACUCUUGCUGUUUUGGUGUUCAGUUCUCCAAACCUAAGCAUGCAUAUUCUUCUGAACUCAGAUUCUAUCUAUCUUUCUCGCUGGAGGAGAUGAGCUAAUUCACAGCCAUGUGGAGCUCUGUCACUGGCUACUCUCUCUUGUUGGUCUUCUGGCUUCCACAGCAAUGGUCCACUCUUAUUGAAAAGGGAAAAAGCAAGGAAAGAAUUAAAGAAAUCCUUUUUGUUAAAACAGUAAGACUAGUUAAAAUCCCAAAGUCUACAACCAGCAACCAUCAUACUUAAUGGUGCAGCGUUAGAAGCAUUCUCUUAAAAACGAAACGAGACAAAGAUGUGUGGUAGUUUAUUUCUAUUUAAAACCACCGAAAGCUAGAGCUAGUGCAUUUAAGACAAAAAAUAAUAAUAAUAAGGUUUUGAAGUGGAAUAGAAGAAACAGAACACCCAUUAUUUCAGUGAUACUGUGAUUGUGCAGUUGUUGGAUGUUGUGUUACGUAAGUACAAUUUAGAUAAGUUGGUUAAUAGUGUGGUUUAUUCUUACUUUUUUGCUUGUUUGUGCUACUCAUUACUAAGGAAAGAGUACCAAAAUCUCCAGUUAAAAUUGUGUUUGUCAGUUUUCUUUAUGCUUCCCUUGGUUUUUGCUUUAUUUAUUUUGGAACUCUAAUUAGGUACAUAUACAUUUAAGAUUCUUACAUCUUCUUAAUGAAUUAACUGUUUUAUCAUUAUGAAAUAUCCAUCUUUAUUGCUGGACAUAUUUCUUAUUAUAAAGUCUACUUUGUUAAUAUAGCCUCUCUAGCUUUCUUA